Molecule: ribosomal RNA, 292 nt
Filed under: uncultured bacterium
Lineage: Bacteria
Description: partial 16S ribosomal RNA
Source: RNAcentral
GGACUACUAGGGUUUCUAAUCCGGAUCGCUCCCCACGCUUUCGCGCCUCAGCGUCAGCAAAGCUCCAGGCAACCGCCUUCGCCACUGGUGUUCUUCCCGAUAUCUACGCAUUCCACCACUACACCGGGAGUUCCAUUGCCCCCUAGCUUGCUCCAGCCGCGCCGUAUCCGCUGACCCCGCCCAGUUGAGCCGGGCGAUUUCACAACGGACGUGCGUGGCCGCCUGCGCGCCCUUUACGCCCAAUAAAUCCGGGCAACGCUCGCACCCUACGUAUUACCGCGGCGGCUGGCAC